GACGAACGCUGGCGGCGUGCCUAAUACAUGCAAGUAGAACGCUGAAGAGAGGAGCUUGCUCUUCUUGGAUGAGUUGCGAACGGGUGAGUAACGCGUAGGUAACCUGCCUGGUAGCGGGGGAUAACUAUUGGAAACGAUAGCUGAUACCGCAUAAAAUUGAUUAUUGCAUGAUAAUUAAUUGAAAGAUGCAACUGCAUCACUACCAGAUGGACCUGCGUUGUAUUAGCUAGUUGGUGAGGUAACGGCUCAACAAGGCGACGAUACAUAGCCGACCUGAGAGGGUGAUCGGCCAAACUGGGACUGGGACACCGCCCAGGCUCCUUCGGGAGGCAGCAGGAGGGGAUCUUCGGGAAUAGGGGGAACGCUGACCGAGCAACGCCGCGGGGGUGGAGGAGGGUCUCGGAUCGUAAAGAUCUGUUGUAAGAGGAGAACGGGUGUGGGAGUGGAAAGUGCACGCUGUGACGGUAUCUAACCAGAAAGGGACGGCUAACUACGUG
Molecule: ribosomal RNA, 497 nt
Filed under: uncultured bacterium
Lineage: Bacteria
Description: partial 16S ribosomal RNA
Rfam family: Bacterial small subunit ribosomal RNA
Source: RNAcentral